Long non-coding RNA from Lynx canadensis (Canada lynx), 5157 nucleotides. RefSeq lists it as uncharacterized. The record is from RefSeq and is a predicted model, not a curated record. The transcript is spliced from 3 exons. NCBI's taxonomy places the organism in Eukaryota, Metazoa, Chordata, Mammalia, Carnivora, Felidae.
CACUCUCUUGCUCGAGACGGCACUGUGGCUCCCCGAUGCCGAUAGGUAGGCAUUGAACGGCCGCCCGAGCCGCAACGUGCUCCGCAAAGCAGACACAGCAGAAGCUGUCCUUGGGGCUGACAAUCUAGACCUCACAGCUGGGUUGCUUCCAGAUAGCCCUUCACCAUCUGCAUGAGAUUCACCAGGGAGGAGGCAGGGCUCACUAAAAUGCAGACUCCCAGGUCCUGCUCUGGGCCCUCCUGGUCAGACUCUCAGGGGCUGGGACCUCUGAAGCAAGUUCUCCAUUAGAGUCUUUUGCACACUGAGGUACGAGAACCAGCCCCCAAGGAUAGUGGAUCUAGGGACUGCCUUCUGCCCCCAACAUGGAUUUCCACCCCUCACUCAGCCCCACCAACCAAGUAAAAAGAAUGAGGGAACUAAGGAAUAAGAUAAAGUCAUAAUGCCCCCAUUGCCCGCCAAGACAGGCUAAGCCAUUCAUCUUGUCACACCCAAUUUGUUCCAGCGGCCCUUAACAUUUGCUGAUUACAUUUGGCCACAUUCUCCCUGCUUUUCUCUUCCUCAUUGCCUCUUGAUGUGCAUGAAAGUAGUGCCUCUGUUUAGGAACUUAGAACUUAUACGUGUCCAUAAGUUUGAACAAAGCCUUGCAUGUCGCCUCUAUCCAGUACUCACACAGACACAUACACAGGGGUCAGUGUUCCUGUGGUGAUUUUCCACCUGCCUACAAGUGGGAGACAGUGAGAGAAGGUUACCAAGUAACAAUGGCUUCAAUGAAAUAGACAUGUAAUUCUUUUCUAUUUUAAAGAAGUCAGGGAUUCCUAGGAGAAAAAAAAAAAAAAAAAAAAAAAAGGAAGAAGUCACGAGAGGGCAUCUGGGGCUUACAGAUUGGUUUUAUGAAAUCAUCCAGUGUCCACACUCUUUCAAACUUGCUUCUCCACCAGCUGCAUGAGAUUCACUUUCCAUUUUAUGGUCCUAGACGGCUGCUCUAGCUCCAGCCCUUACAUCCAUCUUCCAGUUAGCACAGUUGAUAAAGAGGAGAAGAAAGACACAUCUUUUUGCCUUUAAGAACACUUUCUGGGAGGAAUACAUGAACUUCUGCUUUCAGCCCAGCAGUCAGAACUUAGUUACACAGUCACACCCGGCUGCAAAGGAACCUGGGAAACGUAGUCAUUAUUCUGGGUGGCCAGCUGUCUGAUUAAAAGUCACACAUAUCAUCAAGGAAAAAGGGGGGAAUGUAUAACAGGGACUGCCUGCCAGCACUCUGCCCACCCCUGUAGUCUUCCUCGAUCUGAGGCAUGUUUUCUAUGGUGAUCCUUACAUUUGAGUUGAUUUGUGAAAGUAAAAAACUGCCUCAUGUCUAAUAAGAAUAAAAUCAGAGACAAUGUGGGAAAGAUAGUAAGAGAAUCAGAUAAUUACAAAGGGAAUGAAAGUAAAGCAUAACUUUUCAGAGACAAGUAUAUGUAAUCACUUUGGAUUUGGGAGCGAUGGGACUUGGGAACCACCAUUGGAGUCUUACAUCCUCAUAAGGGGAGGAGUGCUCAUAAAACAUUCUUUCCCUGGUUAAAAAUGUCAGGGGUGUCUUCUGUUCUUCCUUUUUACUCCUGCGCUCAGGAUUGAUGGGCAGUUCCUACGUCUGACUUUCAACCUCACCCCUUUAUCUCCAUGAUUUCCCGGUCCCUAGAACCUACCCCCAUCCCCAUUCAUUUUGUGCAUAAAUAGAUUUCUUUUCGUGAUCAGUUCACCCCUCUGCUCAGAAACCUCCAGGGUUGCCCAUAGAUUACCAAAUAUAUUCUUAUUUUCUUCACCAGGCACACACACACACACACACACACACACACACACUAUUCCUAUCAAAUGAAAACACUGGCUGUCUCCCUAAUUCACCAUCUGCCUUGGCUUCUUUGGGGCUCUGAAUUUGGCCACCACUGGCCUUCCUUAUGAGGCUUUGCCUGGUUCCACUGGCUCCUGCCAGAGAAGAACAUGUCCGGGCUAGCUGACGGAGGAUGAGAGGCAGGUGGAGCAGGACCAUCCCACAACCCACAGCUGGUUGUGAGAAGCGGAGCCACUCCAGAUGCCUCAGGGCAGAGCUGGAGCUGGCCAGCCCUGGGAUCUGUGAGAAUAAAUGCUUAUUGUUGUGUGUCACUGUGAUUUUACAGCUAUUUAUUAUGUAAUAUCUUUGCAGCAAUUGCUAACUGAUCUACCUGACUACAUACGCUCUUCCGUAUCUGAACCCCUGCAGUAUUUUCUGUGUGUCUUUUAGAGUAUGAGUCCCUUCUACCUUCAGUUGCGAUUGGGUUUGGAUAUGAACACAGACACCCAAAGAAACAGUGGUGAAAAUAAGAUUGGAGUUUAUUUCUCUCUCAUAUGAAGGCUGUGAAGCAGGUAAGCCGUCGUGGUGAACUGAACGGUGAGCCAGCCGUCCGCUUUGCUGAGCGUGUCACACAGCAGAGCAGGGACAGUCCAAGGCAGUGAGCAGGAACUAACAAUCAGCCUUAGCUCCCAGCCUAGGCCUGUGACCAAUGUGAGAAACAGGCACUGUUUCCUAACUUGCCCAACCUGAGGAAACAUCUUUUCGUGUGCUUGCAGAGUACGAGGAUGUGCGCUGGCUAUUUUCUGUGUGUUUUAGUUUUUAUUUUUACUUUUGAAAAAUUUUAAAUAUAAACUGUAUUAGUCAGGGUUCUCCAGAGACACGGAACCAAUAGGAUAUAUAUAGAUACAUAGAAGGAGAUUUAUUAUAAGAGUUUGGCUUCCAUGGUUAUUGAGACUGAGAUGUCCCACGAUCUGCUGUCUGCAAUCUGCAGAGCAAGGAAAUCGGUGGUGAAAGUUCCAGUCCAAACCCAAGGCCCGACAACCAGGGGAGCCAAUGGUACAGGUCCCAGUGGAAGUCUGAAGGCCCGGGAACGAGGAGCAUUUAUGUCUGAGGGCAAGAGAAGUUGGACGUUCCAGUUAAAGACAGCAAAUCCCACCCUCUUGUUCUAUGGAGGCGCUCAGUGCCUUGGGAUGUAGCCACAGGACCCCACCUCACUGCCAGCCUGGACAGGCAGGGGCUCAGAUAAUUUCCCUAUUACAAUGGAGAAGGGGAUCAUGGACCCCGGGUCCUGCUUCGUUUCCUUUUGGUCCAUCUCUGGUUGAGGACUUUGGCCAACUCCUGGCACCUGGAGCCCUGGUCAGUGCGUGUGCGUGGCAUACAUGGGUCAGCAGUCCCCUCCUGCCUGCUCCAUCCACCCCGUGUCCCAGGUCAGUGCAGAGCACAGAGCUCUCUCCUGUAGCCUCACUUUUCCCAAGCUGCUGCUGCUGCUGCCUUUCCUUCUCCUCCCUCUCCUCCCCCUUCUUCUUCCCUCUCUCCACUCUCCUCCUCCCUUUCUUCCCCUUCCUUCUCUCUCUUCCACCCCUCCAGCUCCUUCUCUCUCUUCUCCUCUGUUUGCUUCUGGGCCUUGGUUCAUGUUUUACCUCCCUCCUUUUUCUUAGCUUGUUGCAAAUGACCCCACCCUUGAGGGUCCUCUCCUACCCUGCUCUGUCCUGAAGGAUUUCUUGAGCGCUCAAGCCCAUCUUGACUUCCACCUGACUCACCAUCAUCCCUGGUUUGGGGCAGCUUCUCUUGGAUCCCUCUUUAUUUUCUUGCGGUUUUGCCCUGACUCCCCAGUGACCGUCAGCGCCCCGGGCCGUGCCUCUUCCUGUGGCAGGCUGCAUCUAGAACCCCGCCACGUUCAGCACAGAGGCUGUUGUGGCGCCAGUCGUGGAGGCGCCAGUCUACUGAAGUCCAGCUGUUUCGCACAGAUUUUGAAAGCUGUGUCUACCUGAUGCCAACCCAACCUGGAGAUGAACAGGAAUUCUGUCGUCUGUUUUGGAAAACUGUGGAUGUCUACGUGGCUGAUGUGCUAGGAAUCUGCUUUAUUGUAUCCUGUGGGCAUUAACUAAUGCGAGGAAGAGUGGAAGACAGCCAUCCUGGCGUGAUGGAGAACCAGUGGGAAGUGGCAGCAAUACUAGGCUAUGUGCCAGGAAACAAGGAUCCUCGUUCUGACUCAUCCAGGAAUGGUGGUGCCCUCGUUCAUAACCCCAUUUCUGAGCCUCAGUUUCCUUAUCCAUGAGACAAGGAGAUGGGCAAAACAAUAAUCAAAUUUCAUUCUUGGAGAUACCACUAUUUUAUGCUUCUAGAAUUUUCCGUGUUCUAUGCUUCUAGAAUUUAGCCGUGGCUCCACGGCUCUCUGCUCAUUUGAUCCUCACAGUAAACCUUUAAGGUAGUCUGACAGGGGUUACUAUUCUUCCCAUUGGACAGAUGGUUGCAUUGAGGCUGCGGAAUGGUAAACACCCAAGGUUUCGUUCAAAAUGAAACCCCUUCUCGUAAUGCGAAAUACUUCCUUCUUAGCAGGAGGCUCACGUCUGUGUGCAUGUGGGCAUAUUGGUGAAUGUGGGCAUCUGUCUGUCAUGUUUCUCUGAUGUUUGAGUAAGAAGGGUGCAGCUAGUAAUUGGACUCAUGAUUUCUGCUUUGUCUGAUGGAUAUUCCAUGUCAUGGUAUCAUUCUUGGUCUAUUCCUGGAUGUUUGCUUUUGUCUGACGAAUGUUCCAUGUUACAGUAUAAUUGACGCUAAAUGCUUUAGGCAAAAAUAAAUAGUGACAGGAGGGCAAAGGGUAGUGGGCAAGGGGAGACGGAGAAGUAAAGGGGCAAGAACGAAGAGCUGAAUUGCCAGCACUAUUGUAUGUACUGCACGAGUGCAGAGUUCUCUUGAUCUUCACAUUAACCCCAUGAGGAACUAUAAUCACACCCAUUUUACAGAUACUGAAACCAAGGCCUAGAGAAGUUAAGGAACUUGUCCAAGAGCCAGCAUGUGAAGCCAGGCAAUCCGGUUUCAGAGUUUGUAGCCCAACCACCCCGCUGUCGAGGGCAGGUCGGGUAGUCAUCAGCCUUUGUGAGCUGCUCUGGUAUAAAGUAGGAUUAAAAAAAAAAAGAAGAGCUACUCAAGCGAGGAAGGUUGUGGAGAAAUUGGGACGCCAUAUACUGCUGGGAGUACUGACUGUGAGUUUAAUCUUUUCAUAAGCCAUGUAUGGCAAGAGCCAUAAAGUUUUUCCAUAUUUGUCAACUCAAGAAUGCCAACCCUUAGGGGCGCCUGGGUGGCGCAGUCGGUUGAGUGUCCGACUUCAGCCAGGUCACGAUCUCGCGGUC